RNAcentral lists this unclassified non-coding RNA (215 nucleotides) under Ascochyta sp. RNAcentral describes it as "partial internal transcribed spacer region". The stretch from base 1 to 46 matches the Rfam family "Eukaryotic small subunit ribosomal RNA", at positions 1786 to 1831 of the family's 1831-position model. The record is from RNAcentral. Lineage: Eukaryota; Fungi; Ascomycota; Dothideomycetes; Pleosporales; Didymellaceae.
AAGUCGUAACAAGGUUUCCGUAGGUGAACCUGCGGAAGGAUCAUUACCUAGAGUUUGUGGGCUUUGCCUGCUACCUCUUACCUAUGUCUUUUGAGUACUUACGUUUCCUCGGCGGGUUCGCCCGCCGACUGGACAAAAUUAAACCCUUUGCAGUUGCAAUCAGCGUCUGAAAAACAUAAUAGUUACAACUUUUAACAACGGAUCUCUUGGUUCUG